This is a non-coding RNA of Myodes glareolus (Bank vole), 413 nucleotides long. Lineage: Eukaryota; Metazoa; Chordata; Mammalia; Rodentia; Cricetidae. The record is from RefSeq and is a predicted model, not a curated record.
CGUCAGACCCCAGCACCUUUCUUCCCUCCGGAAGGGAAAAAUAAAAUAAAACGCUGACCAAAAGAAGAGAAUUAAGCAACGGGUUGGCCUGAAAUUGAUAAACAACUUAAAGUCUUUUGGGCCGAGAAGAUGGCUCAGUGUGUCAAGAGCAAUUGCUGUGCAAGCAUGAGGAUUUGAGAUUGAAUCCCUGGAACCAAGGGAGCUGGAGAGAUGUUUCAGCAGUUAAAAGCAUGUACCGCUCUUACAGAGGAUCUUGUUAUGCCAUGUUUGGUUGGUGUCCCUGGGAGGCCUCACCUCUUCUGGGAGACAAGGGGAGUGGAAGGGAUGCUAUGGUUGGGAUGCAUUGUAUGAGAGAAGAAUAAAUAAAAAGAAAAAAAAUCAAGUUUCAUUGUUCUGAAAAACAAACAAACAAA